UGGGCGUUAAGUUGCAGGGUAUAGACCCGAAACCCGGUGAUCUAGCCAUGGGCAGGUUGAAGGUUGGGUAACACUAACUGGAGGACCGAACCGACUAAUGUUGAAAAAUUAGCGGAUGACCUGUGGCUGGGGGUGAAAGGCCAAUCAAACCGGGAGAUAGCUGGUUCUCCCCGAAAGCUAUUUAGGUAGCGCCUCGUGAAUUCAUCUCCGGGGGUAGAGCACUGUUUCGGCUAGGGGGCCAUCCCGGCUUACCAACCCGAUGCAAACUGCGAAUACCGGAGAAUGUUAUCACGGGAGACACACGGCGGGUGCUAACGUCCGUCGUGAAGAGGGAAACAACCCAGACCGCCAGCUAAGGUCCCAAAGUCAUGGUUAAGUGGGAAACGAUGUGGGAAGGCCCAGACAGCCAGGAUGUUGGCUUAGAAGCAGCCAUCAUUUAAAGAAAGCGUAAUAGCUCACUGGUCGAGUCGGCCUGCGCGGAAGAUGUAACGGGGCUAAACCAUGCACCGAAGCUGCGGCAGCGACGCUGAUGCGUUGUUGGGUAGGGGAGCGUUCUGUAAGCCUGCGAAGGUGUGUCGUGAGGCAUGCUGGAGGUAUCAGAAGUGCGAAUGCUGACAUAAGUAACGAUAAAGCGGGUGAAAAGCCCGCUCGCCGGAAGACCAAGGGUUCCUGUCCAACGUUAAUCGGGGCAGGGUGAGUCGACCCCUAAGGCGAGGCCGAAAGGCGUAGUCGAUGGGAAACGGGUUAAUAUUCCCGUACUUGGUGUUACUGCGAAGGGGGGACGGAGAAGGCUAUGUUGGCCGGGCGACGGUUGUCCCGGUUUAAGCGUGUAGGUGUGUGUUCCAGGUAAAUCCGGUUCACUUUAACACUGAGGCGUGAUGACGAGGCACUACGGUGCUGAAGCAACAAAUGCCCUGCUUCCAGGAAAAGCCUCUAAGCAUCAGGUAACAUCAAAUCGUACCCCAAACCGACACAGGUGGUCAGGUAGAGAAUACCAAGGCGCUUGAGAGAACUCGGGUGAAGGAACUAGGCAAAAUGGUGCCGUAACUUCGGGAGAAGGCACGCUGACACGUAGGUGAAGUGAUUUACUCAUGGAGCUGAAGUCAGUCGAAGAUACCAGCUGGCUGCAACUGUUUAUUAAAAACACAGCACUGUGCAAACACGAAAGUGGACGUAUACGGUGUGACGCCUGCCCGGUGCCGGAAGGUUAAUUGAUGGGGUCAGCGCAAGCGAAGCUCCUGAUCGAAGCCCCGGUAAACGGCGGCCGUAACUAUAACGGUCCUAAGGUAGCGAAAUUCCUUGUCGGGUAAGUUCCGACCUGCACGAAUGGCGUAAUGAUGGCCAGGCUGUCUCCACCCGAGACUCAGUGAAAUUGAACUCGCUGUGAAGAUGCAGUGUACCCGCGGCAAGACGGAAAGACCCCGUGAACCUUUACUAUAGCUUGACACUGAACAUUGAGCCUUGAUGUGUAGGAUAGGUGGGAGGCUUUGAAGUGUGGACGCCAGUCUGCAUGGAGCCGGCCUUGAAAUACCACCCUUUAAUGUUUGAUGUUCUAACGUGGACCCGUGAUCCGGGUUGCGGACAGUGUCUGGUGGGUAGUUUGACUGGGGCGGUCUCCUCCUAAAGAGUAACGGAGGAGCACGAAGGUUGGCUAAUCCUGGUCGGACAUCAGGAGGUUAGUGCAAUGGCAUAAGCCAGCUUGACUGCGAGCGUGACGGCGCGAGCAGGUGCGAAAGCAGGUCAUAGUGAUCCGGUGGUUCUGAAUGGAAGGGCCAUCGCUCAACGGAUAAAAGGUACUCCGGGGAUAACAGGCUGAUACCGCCCAAGAGUUCAUAUCGACGGCGGUGUUUGGCACCUCGAUGUCGGCUCAUCACAUCCUGGGGCUGAAGUAGGUCCCAAGGGUAUGGCUGUUCGCCAUUUAAAGUGGUACGCGAGCUGGGUUUAGAACGUCGUGAGACAGUUCGGUCCCUAUCUGCCGUGGGCGCUGGAGAACUGAGGGGGGCUGCUCCUAGUACGAGAGGACCGGAGUGGACGCAUCACUGGUGUUCGGGUUGUCAUGCCAAUGGCACUGCCCGGUAGCUAAAUGCGGAAGAGAUAAGUGCUGAAAGCAUCUAAGCACGAAACUUGCCCCGAGAUGAGUUCUCCCUGAGACUUAGAGUCUCCUGAAGGAACGUUGAAGACGACGACGUUGAUAGGCCGGGUGUGUAAGCGCAGCGAUGCGUUGAGCUAACCGGUACUAAUGAACCGUGAGGCUUAACCUU
Molecule: ribosomal RNA, 2261 nt
Filed under: Salmonella enterica
Lineage: Bacteria; Pseudomonadati; Pseudomonadota; Gammaproteobacteria; Enterobacterales; Enterobacteriaceae
Also listed under: 2 other names
Description: partial 23S ribosomal RNA
Rfam family: Bacterial large subunit ribosomal RNA
Source: RNAcentral